UUGGAGGGCAAGUCUGGUGCCAGCAGCCGCGGUAACUCCAGCUCCAAUAGCGUAUAUUAAAGUUGUUGCAGUUAAAAAGCUCGUAGUUGAAUUUCGGGAUUGACGUGAUGGUCAUGCCUUAAGGGGUAUGAACUGUUACUGUUGAUUUCUCACCUUCUGGAGAAACUUGAUGUCCUUUAUUGGGUGUCUUGCGGAUCCAGGACCUUUACCUUGAAAAAAUUAGAGUGUUUAAAGCAGGCAUUUUUGCUCGAAUACAUUAGCAUGGAAUAAUAGAAUAGGACGGCAUGGUUCUAUUUUGUUGGUUUCUAGGAUCACCGUAAUGAUUAAUAGGGAUAGUUGGGGGCAUUAGUAUUCAAUUGUCAGAGGUGAAAUUCUUGGAUUUAUUGAAGACUAACUACUGCGAAAGCAUCUGCCAAGGAUGUUUUCAUUAAUCAAGAACGAAAGUUAGGGGAUCGAAGACGAUCAGAUACCGUCGUAGUCUUAACCAUAAACUAUGCCGACUAGGAAUCAGACGAUGUUAAUUUUUUAAUGACUCGUUUGGCACCUUACGGGAAACCAAAGUGUUUGGGUUC
Molecule: ribosomal RNA, 572 nt
Filed under: uncultured Glomeromycotina
Lineage: Eukaryota; Fungi; Glomeromycota
Description: SSU rRNA
Rfam family: Eukaryotic small subunit ribosomal RNA
Source: RNAcentral